GACGAACGCUGGCGGCGUGCUUAACACAUGCAAGUCGAACGGAAAGGCCCUGCUUUUGUGGGGUGCUCGAGUGGCGAACGGGUGAGUAACACGUGAGUAACCUGCCCUUGACUUUGGGAUAACUUCAGGAAACUGGGGCUAAUACCGGAUAGGAGCUCCUGCUGCAUGGUGGGGGUUGGAAAGUUUCGGCGGUUGGGGAUGGACUCGCGGCUUAUCAGCUUGUUGGUGGGGUAGUGGCUUACCAAGGCUUUGACGGGUAGCCGGCCUGAGAGGGUUACCGGCGACAUUGGGACUGAGAUACGGACCAGACUCCUACGGGAGGCAGCAGUGGGGAAUAUUGCACAAUGGGCGGAAGCCUGAGGCAGCAACGCCGCGUGCGGGAUGACGGCCUUCGGGUUGUAAACCGCUUUCGCCUGUGACGAAGCGUGAGUGACGGUAAUGGGUAAAGAAGCACCGGCUAACUACGUG
RNAcentral lists this ribosomal RNA (468 nucleotides) under uncultured bacterium. RNAcentral's name for it is "partial 16S ribosomal RNA". It matches the Rfam family "Bacterial small subunit ribosomal RNA", at positions 28 to 507 of the family's 1533-position model. The record is from RNAcentral.